Molecule: ribosomal RNA, 483 nt
Filed under: uncultured bacterium
Lineage: Bacteria
Description: partial 16S ribosomal RNA
Rfam family: Bacterial small subunit ribosomal RNA
Source: RNAcentral
AUUGAACGCUGGCGGCAGGCCUAACACAUGCAAGUCGAGCGGAUGAAGGGAGCUUGCUCCUGGAUUCAGCGGCGGACGGGUGUGUAAUGUCUAUGAAUCUGCCUGGUAGUGGGGGAUAACGUCCGGAAAUGGGCGCUAUUACCGCAUACGUUCUUAGGGAGAAAGUGGGGGAUCUUCGGACCUCACGCUAUUAGAUGAACCUGGGUCGGAUUAGCUAGUUGGUGGGGUAAAGGCCUACCAAGGCGACGAUCCGUAACUGGUCUGAGAGGUUGAUCAGUCACAAUGGAGCUAAGAGACGGACGAGAACCCAACGGGAGGCAACAGUGGGAAAUAUUGGACAAGGGGCGAAAGCCUGAUACAGCCAGGACGCGGGUGUGAAGAAGGUCGUCGGAUUGUAAAGCACUUUAAGUUGGGAGAAAGGGCAGUAAGUUAAUACCUUGCUGUUUGAACGUACCAACAGAAUAAGCACCGGCUAACUUCGUG